RNAcentral lists this ribosomal RNA (789 nucleotides) under uncultured Methanomicrobiaceae archaeon. Its description in RNAcentral is "bacterial SSU rRNA". It matches the Rfam family "Archaeal small subunit ribosomal RNA", at positions 85 to 879 of the family's 1478-position model. The record is from RNAcentral. Lineage: Archaea; Methanobacteriati; Methanobacteriota; Methanomicrobia; Methanomicrobiales; Methanomicrobiaceae.
ACUGCUCAGUAACACGUGGAUAACCUGCCCUGCGGUGGGAAAUAACCCCGGGAAACUGGGGAUAAUGUCCCAUAGGCUACGGAUGCUGGAAUGCUCUGUAGCUCAAAGAUUUAUCGCCACAGGAUGGGUCUGCGGCCGAUUAGGUAGUUGUUGGGGUAACGGCCCAACAAGCCUUUGAUCGGUACGGGUUGUGGGAGCAAGAGCCCGGAGAUGGAUUCUGAGACACGAAUCCAGGCCCUACGGGGCGCAGCAGGCGCGAAAACUUUACAAUGCGGGAAACCGUGAUAAGGGAACUCCGAGUGUCCGUAAAUGCGGACUGUCCGUAUGUUUAAAAAGCAUGCGAAGAAAGGGCCGGGCAAGACCGGUGCCAGCCGCCGCGGUAAUACCGGCGGCUCGAGUGGUGGCCACUAUUACUGGGCUUAAAGCGUUCGUAGCUGGGUCGUUAAGUCUCUUGGGAAAUCUACCGGCUUAACCGAUAGGCGUCCAAGGGAUACUGGCGAUCUAGGGACCGGGAGAGGUGAGGGGUACUUCAGGGGUAGGAGUGAAAUCCUGUAAUCCUUGGGGGACCACCUGUGGCGAAGGCGCCUCACCAGAACGGCUCCGACAGUGAGGGACGAAAGCUGGGGGAGCAAACCGGAUUAGAUACCCGGGUAGUCCCAGCCGUAAACGAUGCGCGUUAGGUGUAUCGAUGACCACGAGUCAUCGAGGUGCCGAAGGGAAACCGUGAAACGCGCCGCCUGGGAAGUACGGUCGCAAGGCUGAAACUUAAAGGAAUUGGCGGGGGAGCAC